This 495-nucleotide long non-coding RNA is filed under the name Homo sapiens (human). Its description in RNAcentral is "HSALNT0296978". Lineage: Eukaryota; Metazoa; Chordata; Mammalia; Primates; Hominidae. The record is from RNAcentral.
AUCGACGCCUCUGUCUCCCCGAAGUGAGGGCGCUCGCUGCGGAGCUGGGGGUGGUCUCCUCUUCCCCCCAUCGCGGCCCAGCAACCUGGGGGUCCGCGUGACUUCUCCCUGGCCGGGGGAUGGAGGAUGCGCUCUCCUCUGUCCCUUCAAGGCCUCUUCCUCGUCCCAGGUCGAGUCUCCUCCUUGCUGACCAGGCAUCGCGAGCAGAUGAAUCCUCUGGGCGGUUGUCCCUGUCAGGCUGUCAGGACCUGAUUUUCCCUGGUAAGCCUUCGUCAGGCAGGUGGCCUCGCCCAGGCCUCGGAAAAUGUCAGGGCGCAAGCUGGGCACACGGCCCUCCCGCUGGCGAGCAGGCAGCGCGCGCGUUCUUUAGGAUUUGGAACAGCCCUGCCAAUUAGCUUGUACUCUGCCCACAUGCGCAGGACUAAAAAGGAAGCAGGCCAGGCCCGAGCAAAAUUAGACAAUGGGCUCCCAGAACACCAAGGGCGAAGGCGGCCC